UACAGAGGGUGCAAGCGUUGUUCGGAAUUAUUGGGCGUAAAGAGCGCGCAGGCGGUCGUUCAAGUCGCGUGUGAAAGCCCCCGGCUCAACUGGGGAGGGUCACGCGAUACUGAUCGACUCGAAGGCAGGAGAGGGUAGUGGAAUUACCGGUGUAGCGGUGAAAUGCGUAGAUAUCGGUAGGAACACCAGUGGCGAAGGCGGGUCUCUGGGCCGUAACUGACGCUGAGGAGCGAAAGCAUGGGGAGCGAACAGG
This 253-nucleotide ribosomal RNA is filed under the name uncultured bacterium. RNAcentral's name for it is "partial 16S ribosomal RNA". It matches the Rfam family "Bacterial small subunit ribosomal RNA", at positions 524 to 776 of the family's 1533-position model. The record is from RNAcentral.